Molecule: ribosomal RNA, 683 nt
Filed under: bacterium IMCC8975
Lineage: Bacteria
Description: bacterial SSU rRNA
Rfam family: Bacterial small subunit ribosomal RNA
Source: RNAcentral
AACGUACGCUGGCGGCACGCCUAACACAUGCAAGUCGAACGAAGUAGCAAUACUUAGUGGCAGACGGGUGAGUAACAUGUGGGUAUCUACCCUUUGGCCUGGAAUAACACGAGGAAACUUGUGCUAAUACCGGAUAAGUCUUUACGGAGAAAGCUUUAUGCACCAUUGGAUGAGCCCGCACUUGAUUAGUUUGUUGGUAGGGUAAUGGCCUACCAAGACUAUGAUCAAUAGCUGAUUUGAGAGGAUGAUCAGCCACAUUGGGACUGAGACACGGCCCAAACUCCUACGGGAGGCAGCAGUGGGGAAUCUUGCACAAUGGAGGAAACUCUGAUGCAGCGAUGCCGCGUGAGUGAAGAAGGCCCUUGGGUUGUAAAGCUCUUUCGUCGGGGAAGAAAAUGACUGUACCCGAAUAAGAAGGUCCGGCUAACUUCGUGCCAGCAGCCGCGGUAAUACGAAGGGACCUAGCGUAGUUCGGAAUUACUGGGCUUAAAGAGUUCGUAGGUGGUUGAAAAAGUUGGUGGUGAAAUCCCAGAGCUUAACUCUGGAACUGCCAUCAAAACUUUUCAGCUAGAGUAUGAUAGAGGAAAGCAGAAUUUCUAGUGUAGAGGUGAAAUUCGUAGAUAUUAGAAAGAAUACCAAUUGCGAAGGCAGCUUUCUGGAUCAUUACUGACACUAGGAACGAG